GACGAACGCUGGCGGCGUGCUUAACACAUGCAAGUCGAACGGAAAGGCCCUGCUUUUGUGGGGUACUCGAGUGGCGAACGGGUGAGUAACACGUGAGUAACCUGCCCUUGACUUUGGGAUAACUUCGGGAAACUGGGUCUAAUACCGGAUAGGACCUCCUGCUGCAUGGUGGGGUUUAGAGAUUUUCGGCGGUUGGGGAUGGACUCGCGGCUUAUCAGCUUGUUGGUGGGGUAGUGGCCUACCAAGGCUUCGACGGGUAGCCGGCCUGAGAGGGUGAACGGCCACAUUGGGACUGAGAUACGGCCCAGACUCCUACGGGAGGCAGCAGUGGGGAAUAUUGCACAAUGGGCGGAAGCCUGAUGCAGCAACGCCGCGUGGGGGAUGACGGCCUUCGGGUUGUAAACCGCUUUCGCCAGUGACGAAGCGUGAGUGACGGUAAUGGGUAAAGAAGCACCGGCUAACUACGUG
This 468-nucleotide ribosomal RNA is filed under the name uncultured bacterium. RNAcentral's name for it is "partial 16S ribosomal RNA". It matches the Rfam family "Bacterial small subunit ribosomal RNA", at positions 28 to 507 of the family's 1533-position model. The record is from RNAcentral.